Molecule: long non-coding RNA, 366 nt
Organism: Carassius carassius (crucian carp)
Lineage: Eukaryota; Metazoa; Chordata; Actinopteri; Cypriniformes; Cyprinidae
Exons: 3
Source: RefSeq, a predicted model, not a curated record
AACUGGAAACUUGGGAAGAACACCCAUCUAUCACUCAAGGUAAAAAACAUUAAUUAGUAUAUGGAGGAAAUCAAAAACACAAUUGCAAAUGAGUCAUGGCCUAACACAACCUAAUACAAUUUUUUUCACUUUUUCUAAUUAGAGAACAAAUUCUCUGCCUUAAGACUCUCUCAAGACCAAAGACCAUCAACCACACAACAAGGAAGAAUGCAAACCGUUCCAGUGAGCUUGUCCAAUGAAAAUGAGCAAGAGGAUGCUUGGGGUGAACACCCAUCUAACUUUCAAGAGAACACAAUCUCUGAACAGAGAUCCUCAAGUACCCACCAGCCAAGAACAAAUAGUAAGUCAUUUGUAAUUUUUUUUUUU